GCUUGUCUCAAAGAUUAAGCCAUGCAUGUCUAAGCAUAAACUAAACUAAAGUGAAGCCGCGAAUAGCUCAUUACAACAGCCGUUGUUUCUUGGAUCUCCGAUUUACUUGGAUAACUGUGGUAAUUCUAGAGCUAAUACACGCAAUCGAGCUCCGACCUUACGGGACGAGCGCAUUUAUUAGAUCAAAACCAAUCAGUGCUUGCACUGUAGUAUGGUGAAUCUGAAUAACUGAGCAGAUCGCUUCGGUCUUGUACCGGCGACGUAUCCUUCAAGUGUCUGCCUUAUCAACUUUCGAUGGUAGUUUAUGUGCCUACCAUGGUUGUAACGGGUAACGGAGAAUUAGGGUUCGACUCCGGAGAGGGAGCCUGAGAAACGGCUACCACUUCCAAGGAAGGCAGCAAGCA
This 404-nucleotide ribosomal RNA is filed under the name Daptonema sp. 55L26C15. RNAcentral describes it as "bacterial SSU rRNA". It matches the Rfam family "Eukaryotic small subunit ribosomal RNA", at positions 30 to 434 of the family's 1831-position model. Lineage: Eukaryota; Metazoa; Nematoda; Chromadorea; Monhysterida; Xyalidae. The record is from RNAcentral.